This 455-nucleotide long non-coding RNA is filed under the name Mus musculus (house mouse). Its description in RNAcentral is "long non-coding RNA chr14:117665574-117666029". Lineage: Eukaryota; Metazoa; Chordata; Mammalia; Rodentia; Muridae. The record is from RNAcentral.
GUGUGUGUGUGUGUGUGUGUGUGUGUGUGUAUACUUACAUAACUGACAUAUGAAAGAUACUAAAAAUGAAAGGAAAAUCUCUGAUUUGAGUUCUAAUGAAAGAUCCCAUGAUACUAUACUAAUGAAUCUAUGGAUUUUCUUCCUUUUAUUGGAAAUAGUCUUUUCCUCACAUAAGCUAUCCUGAGGACAGUUCCCAUGCCCUCUACUUUUAGCUGACCCCCUUCUCUCCACCUUUCCAGACCCACCACCUUUUUGUCUCUCAUUAGAAAGCAAAUAGGCUCUGUGGGAUAAUAACAAAAUAAAAUAUAAUAAAAUGAACCAAUUCCCCCACACCAAAAUUGGAUAAGAUAAACAGUAAGAAAAGAGCUCAAGAAAUAGAGUCUAUUUACAUACUCAAGAAUCACAUAAAACUCUUAAUUGGAAGCUAUUACAUGCAAAGGACCUAUAGGGUAAAG